CGUGAGAAUCUGGCUUUAGGACGGGGAUAACCACUGGAAACGGUGGCUAAGACCCGAUAUGCCGAGAGGUGAAAGUAAAUUAGCCUAGAGGGGAGCUCGCGUCUGAUUAGCUAGUUGGUGGGGUAAGAGCCUACCAAGGCGACGAUCAGUAGCUGGUCUGAGAGGAUGAUCAGCCACACUGGGACUGAGACACGGCCCAGACUCCUACGGGAGGCAGCAGUGGGGAAUUUUCCGCAAUGGGCGAAAGCCUGACGGAGCAAUACCGCGUGGGGGAGGAAGGCUCUUGGGUUGUAAACUCCUUUUCUCAGGGAAGAACACAAUGACGGUACCUGAGGAAUCAGCAUCGGCUAACUCCGUGCCAGCAGCCGCGGUAAUACGGAGGAUGCAAGCGUUAUCCGGAAUCAUUGGGCGUAAAGCGUCCGCAGGUGGCAAUUCAAGUCUGCUGUCAAAGGUCGGGGCUUAACUCCGAACAGGCAGUGGAAACUGAAUAGCUAGAGUGCGGUAGGGGCAGAGGGAAUUCCUGGUGUAGCGGUGAAAUGCGUAGAGAUCAGGAAGAACACCGGUGGCGAAAGCGCUCUGCUAGGCCGCAACUGACACUCAGGGACGAAAGCUAGGGGAGCGAAUGGGAUUAGA
RNAcentral lists this ribosomal RNA (633 nucleotides) under Gloeocapsopsis sp. LEGE 13421. RNAcentral describes it as "bacterial SSU rRNA". It matches the Rfam family "Bacterial small subunit ribosomal RNA", at positions 116 to 782 of the family's 1533-position model. The record is from RNAcentral. Lineage: Bacteria; Bacillati; Cyanobacteriota; Cyanophyceae; Chroococcidiopsidales; Chroococcidiopsidaceae.